This 501-nucleotide ribosomal RNA is filed under the name uncultured bacterium. RNAcentral's name for it is "partial 16S ribosomal RNA". It matches the Rfam family "Bacterial small subunit ribosomal RNA", at positions 30 to 523 of the family's 1533-position model. The record is from RNAcentral.
AUUGAACGCUGGCGGCAGGCUUAACACAUGCAAGUCGAGCGGGGGAAGGUAGCUUGCUACCGGACCUAGCGGCGGACGGGUGAGUAAUGCUUAGGAAUCUGCCUAUUAGUGGGGGACAACAUCUCGAAAGGGAUGCUAAUACCGCAUACGUCCUACGGGAGAAAGCAGGGGAUCUUCGGACCUUGCGCUAAUAGAUGAGCCUAAGUCAGUUUAGCUAGUUGGGGGGGUAAAGGCCUACCAAGGCGACGAUCUGUAGCGGGUCUGAGAGGAUGAUCCGCGACACUGGGACUGAGACACGGCCCAGACUCCUACGGGAGGCAGCAGUGGGGAAUAUUGGACAAUGGGGGGAACCCUGAUCCAGCCAUGCCGCGUGUGUGAAGAAGGCCUUAUGGUUGUAAAGCACUUUAAGCGAGGAGGAGGCUACUUUAGUUAAUACCUAGAGAUAGUGGACGUUACUCGCAGAAUAAGCACCGGCUAACUCUGUGCCAGCAGCCGCCGUAA